This is an RNA transcript of Helianthus annuus (common sunflower), 2609 nucleotides long. RefSeq lists it as uncharacterized. The record is from RefSeq and is a predicted model, not a curated record. The transcript is spliced from 5 exons. Lineage: Eukaryota; Viridiplantae; Streptophyta; Magnoliopsida; Asterales; Asteraceae.
UAAUACUAUAAAAAGGAGAAGUGAUGUACCAAAUUGUAAUUUUACUAGAAGUACAAGUUAUUAAGCAACAUUUACAAGGGAGUGCAAGCCAAUAUAAUAGGGAUUUGGCUUUAUUUUUAAGACGCCUGUAGGGUUAAAAUUGGGAUUUUGUAGUGAGAUUAAAUGCUGCCUCUUCAUUUCUUUCUUUAUGGCCACGGUGGUGGUUACAAUGGAUCUGGAUGAAGCGACGUUCCUUCAAGCAAGUGGUGGCGAUUUCGUGACCAGGAAAGUGAAGAGACAGAGAGACAUAAGGAGAAAUCGAAAGAGGGAGGAGGAUGAAGAUCAGGAAUUAAGAGAGGGGGCCUAUCGGUGAUGGAGACGACCGUGAAACUGCCGUCUUCAGGCGGCGGCGAUGAUGGUUUGAUGAACACCUGUUACAGUUUCUACUUAUUUUGAUAUUUUUCAUUUUUAGGUUUUCGUCAUAUCACUUAACCCCUUUCAGAUUAAUUCGUGCACCAGCCCUAAUUAGUUGUUUAAUAAUUUAAUUUACUUCAUCUUCUUUCUCCAUCUGAUCUGUUUCAUUGCAAAUUGAUGCACCCCUAUAGUUUAAUUUGCUUGUAUAUUAUUGCAAUCUGAUAAUCUUUCUGAUGCCCACCAACUGUUUGUUUGAAUGUUUGUGAUUAUGGCAACAAGGUGGACCUUCAUUGAGCUUGGAGUCAUGGAUUCAGAUCACACAGGAAUAUAUGUAACUGAAAGGACAGUGAUAUGAUAUUGAUGUUUUUAUAGAUCUUGCUAAUGACUUGUAGGGAAAGGACAGUGAUAUGAUAUUGAUUUAUACUUGAAUUGUGUUUUACUGCUGUGGUUUGAAGAUUAAUUUUGAGAUCAACUUGUUUUAGUUUCAUUGGUUCACCCUAUUACAUAAUUGGUAAUUGAAGUUGUGAUUUGAAGGUUAAUUUUGAAGAUUAGUUGCUGUUUAGUUAGUUUCAUUGAUUCACGCUGUUAUAUAAUCGGUGGUUUUAAAAGAAAAUAGUGUUAAAGAAAAGAAGAUAAAAUGGUGUUAUGAAGAAAAUUUAUGUGGAAACUUCAUCAAAAGAAAAACCAAAGGCUGUAGAAGGUCCAAAACAAGAAUACAUUCAUGUUCGAGCUCGUAGAGGUUUGGCUGAACGAAUGUUUGAAGUUCCAGCAGUCGCGUAUUCGGCUGAAGUGGCGAAUUCUGCUUAUAUUCAAGUCAAUUCGUUACUAGAAAUGGGAAAUAACCCGAUUGACGCGAUGUUAAGAAGAAGCAUUGGUGGUCCCGUUUCGAUUCCUGAAACAUUCGUUGUUUCAUCGUGUUUCAAUCAAAUGCAGCCAGGUGUGACAUGGGAUGGUGAUCUACACAAUCUAUACAGAAUGGAAAUUCAACAAGAAUCAUCAACAAUUCCAUUUCAACCCCAUAAAUUUACAGGUAAAAAGAGCAUAAAUCUAUACACGUAUUUUUUUCCAAUAUAUAUGUAUGUCUAACGUAUGUUACGUGCUAUGAAUGUGGUAAUCUGAGUUAAUUAAGCCUGCGUAACGCAAACAAUAUUAUUUAAACAUAGUUAAUAGAAACAUAGAGCUACAUACCCACAAAAGCAAAUAAUAAGUGGGUCAAAGUUCACAUAUUUGGACCAAGAAAGUUGCUUGUUGGGUAUCGGGUUGCCAUCAUAUAUUAGGAUCGGAUUAUAUUGGGCGGGUUAGAUAGCUUGUUACAAUGAGUUUGGGUUGGUACAAGUCAUUUUUAGUAUGGGUCGACCCAGGUCCCAGGUUCAUCCAGUUGGUUGACCUGCAUAUAUUUAUUUUCGGUUUUUAUCUUUUACGAAUAAUUAGUGAUGUACUUGUGGUUACAAAACAUGCUUAGUACUGUAUAGACAGCAAUGGGAAGGUUGGGUGGUUGGAUCAAUGGGAAUAGAGUAGCUGGUGAGUCUUUUGACUCUUUGGAUUUAAGUUUUAUGCUGUCAUAUCACAAGCAUCCGUGUGGGCUUGGUGAACAUUAUAACUCUGUUGUACCAGCUUAACCCAACUGGGUCAGGUAAACAUAUCAUACUUUUAAGUUUAUUUAUACCUAUUUAAGGGGACAAAAUGUGUAAACGAGCCAAGCUAAGCCCAACCCAAAUCGAGCACAAUUCCAAAUAGAGGUAAAUGGGUUGAAUAUGUUGAACGGGUCAAAAGUUGGAACAAAGUGUGUUUUUAAUACUUAUAAUUUUCUAAAUUCUUUUAAUGAUAUGGUAAAAUUUUUAUCAAAUAAACUCUUUAAUAGACUUUGGAGCAGCAAAUAAAAGAUGUUCAUAACCUUACAGAUCUUGCUGGUAGUGAGUGAAUCUUGGAAUGAACGGUGAUGUUUGAUGACUGAUACAGGUGUGGUUUCCAGCAACGGAACCGUUGGAUGUCAUGUCGGCAAUUAGGGGUGGUUUGCGCGGUGGAAAGAGAUAGUUAGAUACCCGGAAAGGGUUAGUGAAGUUGGGAGUGUAAUCGGGUGAGGUCGGAGACGGGUCAGACUUUGGGUCAACUGUGGUUAACGCAAGUAAACCGAGUCAGAUUUGGUGCUUAUAUAUAUGCACACACAACUUACAUAUGAUUCUUUUUAUUGCUUUAAGAUUUCAACCAUGUUACCA